UGCCAAACUGCAUCCCGAACGACAGUGCAGACCUUGGCUCAAGCUAUAUCGGCAUUGAGGGAAGCGGGUUGAAAUCCGACAACUGGUUGAUGACUAUCAAAUCUGUCAACCUAACCAUGGGCGUCACCGACCCAGGCUGUGUCUUAACCUACUUGGGAAUCUUCAACCAGGCAGCAAGUCCUGCAGAUACAGAACUAUACUUCAACGGAUAUAAAACAGGCAUCACGGAUCCAGCUGCUUUCGACGUUCCCCUCUCCUGUUAAUGUGGGCAGCCACACUUCAUCUUGUAGACCCGAUUGUCGUCUGUUGGACUUUACAAAAUAUACAAAUAUUUUUAUAUCAAUAAAAACUACUUAUAAGUA
Molecule: long non-coding RNA, 362 nt
Organism: Haliotis rubra (blacklip abalone)
Lineage: Eukaryota; Metazoa; Mollusca; Gastropoda; Lepetellida; Haliotidae
Exons: 3
Source: RefSeq, a predicted model, not a curated record